This 410-nucleotide ribosomal RNA is filed under the name uncultured bacterium. Its description in RNAcentral is "bacterial SSU rRNA". It matches the Rfam family "Bacterial small subunit ribosomal RNA", at positions 54 to 483 of the family's 1533-position model. The record is from RNAcentral.
CAUGCAAGUCGAACGGGAACCUCUGGAUUCGUCUAGAGGGGAGAGUGGCGGACGGGUGAGUAACACGUAGGUGACCUGCCUUGAAGACGGGGAUAACCACUGGAAACGGUAGCUAAUACCCGAUAGUCUCGAUGACGCAAGUCAUCGAGUAAAGCUCCGGCGCUUCAAGAGGGGCCUGCGGCCCAUCAGCUAGUUGGUAGGGUAAUGGCCUACCAAGGCGAAGACGGGUAGGGGGCGUGAGAGCGCGGCCCCCCACACUGGCACUGCGACACGGGCCAGACUCCUACGGGAGGCAGCAGUGAGGAAUAUUGCCCAAUGGGCGCAAGCUUGAGGCAGCAACGCCGCGUGGGUGAUGAAGGCCUUCGGGUCGUAAAACCCUUUUCUGGGGAAAGAGCAAGGACGUACCCCAG